RNAcentral lists this microRNA precursor (91 nucleotides) under Musa acuminata subsp. malaccensis (wild Malaysian banana). RNAcentral's name for it is "mir-160 microRNA precursor family". It matches the Rfam family "mir-160 microRNA precursor family". From Rfam's summary of the family: The hairpin precursors (represented here) are predicted based on base pairing and cross-species conservation -- their extents are not known. In this case the mature sequence is excised from the 5' arm of the hairpin. Lineage: Eukaryota; Viridiplantae; Streptophyta; Magnoliopsida; Zingiberales; Musaceae. The record is from Rfam by way of RNAcentral. RNAcentral also lists the same sequence under 1 other name.
CUAUGCCUGGCUCCCUGUAUGCCACUCGCGUAGUUACCAAUCAAAACUAUCGAUUGGCUACUGCGGAUGGCGUGCGAGGAGCCAAGCAUGG